CUCACUUCGACGAUGAUUAAGACUCACUUCGACGGCGAACUGAAGCAACGUUUCCGAUGGAAAACUCGAUUUCGGACGGCGUGCAAGACAAAUUAAAUGGCACGAAAAAGAACAAGAUCAGAGGCAGAAGAGGAAGAGUCUAGAAGGGAUAUACGUGAAGCUGAAACCAGAACUUAUCAUCAGAAUAUGAAUGAGGAGGAAGUGGAAGGUGAAACAAGCAAUAGAAUGAAUAUCGAUGAAGAACUAAGAGGACCAGGAGGUGAAGUUCUGGUAAAGCUAAACAAGGGGGUAAAUGUCCUGCUGUUCAGAUUAAAGGUCCUGCAACAAGAAUAGGCCCUUGGCUGUGUGUUGAGAAUUUCCUUACAUCAGUUCGAGGAGGUAAAAAAGAGAUGACCGAUAGAUGUUGAGAAGAUGGUUGCGGAGUACAAGAAACCAUGAACAAUAAAUUAACUCUUGGCUUUUCUGAACAUGAAUGAAAUCUUGGAUGUGUGAAUGAACUUAGUACUGAAACAUGUAAUUUUGCAGUUUUAAUUUGAUUUGACUUUUUUUGCGUA
This is a long non-coding RNA of Salvia hispanica, 554 nucleotides long. RefSeq lists it as uncharacterized. NCBI's taxonomy places the organism in Eukaryota, Viridiplantae, Streptophyta, Magnoliopsida, Lamiales, Lamiaceae. The record is from RefSeq and is a predicted model, not a curated record.